Molecule: long non-coding RNA, 423 nt
Filed under: Homo sapiens (human)
Lineage: Eukaryota; Metazoa; Chordata; Mammalia; Primates; Hominidae
Description: HSALNT0200164
Source: RNAcentral
UGGGAAGGCUGGAGAUGUGUAGCCAUCAGGCAAAAAACUCUCAGAACCUAGGAGGGAGGCCUGGGACAGAUCCCCAGCACCUUCAGAGAAAGCAUGGCCCUGCACACACCUUGACACCUUGACCUCAGACUUCUGGGCUCCAGAAUCGAAAGAAGUUUCCAAAGUGUGAACCUUCCGAACACUAGUCUCUGGAGAGGAUCUGCAGAGAAGGGUUUUAUGGCCAAGCACCUCCUGGAACUCUAUAACACACCGUAAAAAAUGGUCUCUCAGGAGUCCUGUAGCUGAGAACCCAGAAUCCCUCCCAUAUGUGAAAAAACAUGAUUUUAUUCUAGCAUCUUUUGAGAGUUUUGUUCUUUGUAUAUGCAGCUCUAGUGCAAUACACUCCAUACGUUCACAUUUUUAGUGUCAUUUGAUGUAAUAAAU